UUUGUUUUGUUUUGUUUUGUUUUGUUUUGUUUUGUUUUGUUUUGUUUUGUUUUGUUUUGUUUUGUUUUGUUUUGUUUUGUUUUGUUUUGUUUUGUUUUGUUUUGUUUUGUUUUGUUUUGUUUCUCUGUGAGUCUAGGAUGUGGAGUUGUGGCCAACUGUUACAGGCAAGAUGGGAUGAACGCUAGGAGAAACAGAAGGAUAAAGAACUACAUGAGCUGAUGCAGCUGAGGAGACUGGGGAUUUCACAAGGAUGGCAAAUGAAGAAAAGCUUGCUUUUGCAUCCGGCAGGGAUUAUAUUUGUUAUGAGAUCAGAGAAAAUUCAAACAAAUAAAAACAAGCCAUUGCUAAAAACAACUGAAGAGUUAUGCAAUGAUGCAAAUGAAUGCGGAAGUACUUAGUUCUGUGGAUAACUGCCAUAGUAAAUCAUCUCUUGACUUCAGUGGAAAACAACACAUC
Tympanuchus pallidicinctus (lesser prairie-chicken) is the source of this 456-nucleotide long non-coding RNA. RefSeq lists it as uncharacterized. NCBI's taxonomy places the organism in Eukaryota, Metazoa, Chordata, Aves, Galliformes, Phasianidae. The transcript has 3 exons. The record is from RefSeq and is a predicted model, not a curated record.